This 253-nucleotide ribosomal RNA is filed under the name uncultured bacterium. RNAcentral describes it as "partial 16S ribosomal RNA". It matches the Rfam family "Bacterial small subunit ribosomal RNA", at positions 524 to 776 of the family's 1533-position model. The record is from RNAcentral.
UACGGAGGGUGCAAGCGUUGUUCGGAAUUACUGGGCGUAAAGCGCGUGUAGGCGGUCGGGCAAGUCAGAUGUGAAAGCCUUCCGCUUAACGGAAGAAGUGCAUUUGAAACUACCAGGCUAGAGUACGGGAGAGGAGAGUGGAAUUCCCGGUGUAGAGGUGAAAUUCGUAGAUAUCGGGAGGAACACCAGUGGCGAAGGCGGCUCUCUGGUCCGAUACUGACGCUGAGACGCGAAAGCGUGGGGAGCAAACAGG